This is a long non-coding RNA of Cebus imitator (Panamanian white-faced capuchin), 114 nucleotides long. RefSeq lists it as uncharacterized. The transcript has 3 exons. Lineage: Eukaryota; Metazoa; Chordata; Mammalia; Primates; Cebidae. The record is from RefSeq and is a predicted model, not a curated record.
AGGCUGGGGUGCAGUGACAUGAUCUUGGGUCACUAUAGCCUCUGCCCUCUGGGUUCAAGUGAUUCUCCUGCCUCAGCCUCACAAGUAGCUGGGAUUACAAGCAUGUGCGACCAC